UCAGCUCCACGAAGAAGACAGGGAGCGGGCUAUCCCGUCCUCCACUCUUUUCCCAUAGGCCUGGUAGUAGGUAGUAGUGUCAGCUCCACGAUGAAGACAGGGAGCGGGCUAUCCCGUCCUCCACUCUUUUCCCAUAGGCCUGGUAGUAGGUAGUAGUGUCAGCUCCACGAUGAAGACAGGGAGCGGGCUAUCCCGUCCUCCACUCUUUUCCCAUAGGCCUGGUAGUAGGUAGUAGUGUCAGCU
Oncorhynchus keta (chum salmon) is the source of this 243-nucleotide long non-coding RNA. RefSeq lists it as uncharacterized. The transcript is spliced from 3 exons. The record is from RefSeq and is a predicted model, not a curated record. Lineage: Eukaryota; Metazoa; Chordata; Actinopteri; Salmoniformes; Salmonidae.